ACGGGAGGCAGCAGUGGGGAAUAUUGGACAAUGGGGGAAACCCUGAUCCAGCGACGCCGCGUGAGUGAAGAAGUAUUUCGGUAUGUAAAGCUCUAUCAGCAGGGAAGAAAAUGACGGUACCUGACUAAGAAGCCCCGGCUAACUACGUGCCAGCAGCCGCGGUAAUACGUAGGGGGCAAGCGUUAUCCGGAUUUACUGGGUGUAAAGGGUGCGUAGGCGGCAUGGCAAGUCAGAAGUGAAAUCCCAGGGCUCAACCCUGGAACUGCUUUUGAAACUGUCAGGCUAGAGUACAGGAGAGGUAAGCGGAAUUCCUAGUGUAGCGGUGAAAUGCGUAGAUAUUAGGAGGAACACCAGUGGCGAAGGCGGCUUACUGGACUGACACUGACGCUGAGGCACGAAAGCGUGGGGAGCAAACAGGAUUAGAUACCC
This 429-nucleotide ribosomal RNA is filed under the name uncultured Lachnospiraceae bacterium. RNAcentral's name for it is "bacterial SSU rRNA". It matches the Rfam family "Bacterial small subunit ribosomal RNA", at positions 341 to 787 of the family's 1533-position model. Lineage: Bacteria; Bacillati; Bacillota; Clostridia; Lachnospirales; Lachnospiraceae. The record is from RNAcentral.